ACUGUCAACUCUUACAAGCUGGGGUGGGUCGGUACUUGGAUGGGAGACCUCCAAGGAACACCAUUAGUCAGCAGUA
This 76-nucleotide ribosomal RNA is filed under the name Chrysemys picta bellii (western painted turtle). The record is from RNAcentral. Lineage: Eukaryota; Metazoa; Chordata; Testudines; Emydidae.